UACGUAGGGGGCAAGCGUUGUCCGGAAUCAUUGGGCGUAAAGAGCGUGUAGGCGGCCCGAUAAGUCCGCCGUGAAAGUCCAGGGCUCAACCCUGGGAUGCCGGUGGAAACUGUCGGGCUAGAGUCCGGAAGAGGCGAGUGGAAUUCCUGGUGUAGCGGUGAAAUGCGCAGAUAUCAGGAGGAACACCGGUGGCGAAGGCGGGACUCUGGGCCGAUACUGACGCUGAGGAGCGAAAGCGUGGGGAGCAAACAGG
Molecule: ribosomal RNA, 253 nt
Filed under: uncultured bacterium
Lineage: Bacteria
Description: partial 16S ribosomal RNA
Rfam family: Bacterial small subunit ribosomal RNA
Source: RNAcentral